GUAAUCAGCGACUACGUGACCAAGGGCGAUGC
Molecule: non-coding RNA, 32 nt
Filed under: Geobacter sulfurreducens KN400
Lineage: Bacteria; Pseudomonadati; Thermodesulfobacteriota; Desulfuromonadia; Geobacterales; Geobacteraceae
Source: RNAcentral